This 906-nucleotide ribosomal RNA is filed under the name uncultured bacterium. Its description in RNAcentral is "bacterial SSU rRNA". It matches the Rfam family "Bacterial small subunit ribosomal RNA", at positions 8 to 916 of the family's 1533-position model. The record is from RNAcentral.
AGAGUUUGAUCCUGGCUCAGGAUGAACGCUAGCGGCAGGCUUAACACAUGCAAGUCGAGGGGUAGCAGGUCUUCGGACGCUGACGACCGGCAAACGGGUGCGGAACACGUACGCAACAUACCCUUUACAGGGGGAUAGCCCGAAGAAAUUCGGAUUAACACCCCAUAGUAUAAUAGGAAGGCAUCUUCUUAUUAUUAAAAAUUUAUUGGUAAAGGAUUGGCGUGCGUCCCAUUAGAUAGUUGGCGGGGUAACGGCCCACCAAGUCAGCGAUGGGUAGCUGGUGUGAGAGCACGACCAGCCACACGGGCACUGAGACACGGGCCCGACUCCUACGGGAGGCAGCAGUGAGGAAUAUUGGUCAAUGGACGCAAGUCUGAACCAGCCAUGCCGCGUGGAGGAUGACAGCCUUCUGGGUUGUAAACUUCUUUUAUAUGGGAAGAAAAGUACGGUUUCUACUGUAUCCGACGGUACCAUAUGAAUAAGCACCGGCUAACUCCGUGCCAGCAGCCGCGGUAAUACGGAGGGUGCAAGCGUUAUCCGGAUUUACUGGGUUUAAAGGGUGUGUAGGCGGAUAUUUAAGUCAGAGGUGAAAUCUCCGAGCUCAACUCGGAAACUGCUUUUGAUACUAUUUAUCUUGAAUUUCGUUGAGGUUGGCGGAAUAUAUCAUGUAGCGGUGAAAUGCAUAGAUAUGAUAUAGAACACCGAUUGCGUAGGCAGCUGGCUGAACGAACAUUGACGCUGAGGCACGAAAGCGUGGGUAGCGAACAGGAUUAGAUACCCUGGUAGUCCACGCCCUAAACGAUGAUUACUCGACAUACGCGAUACACAGUGUGUGUCUGAGCGAAAGCAUUAAGUAAUCCACCUGGGAAGUACGUCCGCAAGGAUGAAACUCAAAGGAAUUGACGG